GGAGUCGGUUCUACCUUAAGGCAAGGUUUAAAAUCCUUGACCACGGUAUAGUCAGCGACUGGGGUGAAGUCGUAACAAGGUAGCCGUAGGGGAACCUGCGGCUGGAUUACCUCCUUUCUAAGGAUGAAUGAAAGUAAAAUUUUAUUCUAAAUAAUAUACAUAGGUAAUGUUGACCGUCCUCAUUUCUCUUCUUAAUUAGUGUUUCUCUUGCAUGGGGGCCGGUAGCUCAGUUGGUUAGAGCACACCCUUGAUAAGGGUGGGGUCGAAAGUUCGAGUCUUUCUCGGCCCACCAAUUUAAGAUCCUGGGGGAUUAGCUCAGCUGGGAGAGCGCCUGAUUUGCAUUCAGGAGGUCAGCGGUUCGAUCCCGCUAUCCUCCACCAAAACACUUAGUUAUAUAAAUCGUAAAUAAAAUAAUAAUUAAUAUCAAUAUCUAUAUCCGAACAUUAGUAAUGUUAUUAGCUAAUGUUCAAAAUAAAAAUUUGAUUCAACACAGAAUUUUUUUCUGUGCAUAAAUCAAGCGUUUAAGGGCGUGUAGUGGAUGCCUUGGCACUGAAAGCCGAUGAAGGACGUGAUAUACUGCGAUAAGUUUCGGGGAGCUGUAUGUAAGUUUUGAUCCGAAAAUU
This 623-nucleotide unclassified non-coding RNA is filed under the name uncultured marine bacterium. RNAcentral's name for it is "partial contains 16S ribosomal RNA, 16S-23S ribosomal RNA intergenic spacer, and 23S ribosomal RNA". The stretch from base 1 to 117 matches the Rfam family "Bacterial small subunit ribosomal RNA", at positions 1407 to 1533 of the family's 1533-position model. The record is from RNAcentral.